AGCGGGGUAGAGGAAUUGGUCAACUCAUCAGGCUCAUGACCUGAAGACUGCAGGUUCGAAUCCUGCCCCCGCCU
Molecule: transfer RNA, 74 nt
Filed under: Ricinus communis (castor bean)
Lineage: Eukaryota; Viridiplantae; Streptophyta; Magnoliopsida; Malpighiales; Euphorbiaceae
Also listed under: 3 other names
Description: tRNA-Met
Rfam family: tRNA
About the family: Transfer RNA (tRNA) molecules are approximately 80 nucleotides in length. Their secondary structure includes four short double-helical elements and three loops (D, anti-codon, and T loops).
Source: RNAcentral